RNA transcript from Paramacrobiotus metropolitanus, 1966 nucleotides. RefSeq lists it as uncharacterized. The record is from RefSeq and is a predicted model, not a curated record. The transcript has 8 exons. NCBI's taxonomy places the organism in Eukaryota, Metazoa, Tardigrada, Eutardigrada, Parachela, Macrobiotidae.
AACCCAAAAGUGAAUGGUGAACUCCAGACUUCCCGUCAAAAAACUGAAUAAAUUUGAACUGCGAAGCGUGAAGCGUGAAUUCCACGGUCUGCCACUUCUCUAACUUGUUUUCCGGGUAAAAGGAUUUUGUUAUACAUAACUUCUUGAUCCCUUGGAUGUGGUUGUUUGCUGAAAAUGGCACGAGCUCGAAGCACUCGAGCCCAGCCGCGUCCAGACGCUCCGAUUAAGUGCGUUCGAGUUCCUGCGGUGCAGAAUGCCGCUAAGCCCCGAGCAGUUCUUCAUGACUGGUAUUUGAAAAAGCACACUGCUGCCUCUGUAGUCCAGUUAGUGGGAAGUUUUGACGGACAGAAUAUCAGCAUCCAUUCCUUCACUGAACAGAAGUUCACGACUUCCGUCAUUAUCACCCGUGUUAGUGAAACGUUGGUCACUACCAUUACUGGGUCCGCUUACGAGUUGCGCGGGAAAAUCAACGCUGAAGCAAUGCGGGCGAAUGGAUUCUCCGUUCAAGUCAUCCGAGCUUUCGAAAACGGAUUUCCAUCUAACUGGGAAGAUGUUAUCCGACAGGAUUUUGCCAAGACUAGGUCGGCCAAGAAGUUUGACUUUGGACAGAAAAUCGACUUACUGGGCUCAGCGGCGAAGAAACAUGCCCCGAAAAGGGAACUGGAGAGUUCAUUUCAACCAGUUGCGACUGCUUCCGGUCGUCCCGUCACCAAGCAGAUUACCACAAAGAAUCCGGCCGUGCGUAACACACCCUUCUCGGAGCGCCUACGUCCUCGCCCGCAAAUCCCAGUCGUCAGCAAUAAGGGAGUAAUGACAAAAGUUGUUGUGCAAAAAGUUCCUGCUCAGAAAGCGGUUGAGCGAAAGCCGACUGGGAAGCUCGCUGCGAAGUUUAGGAAUGGUUUCGAAAAAGACCGAACAGUCAUCGGAACAACAAAUUGCUCUCAUAAAAAUGCCGACAUUGGACAGCUUACGACAGGCUGCAUCUGGCUCUGAUUCUGGGAAUAAGCCGCACAGUGGAAGCUUGGGGCCGGUUGAAGCCAUGAACAAAGCCUUGGGAAGGAAUUCUGUCAUUAAACAAACUGAGUCACGCACUUUCGGGUGGGCCAAGCGGACUAAAGUGCCGAUUGGAAAAGGUGGAAAAGGAAAAGACGUCAAGCGGCUGAAUGGUGCCAAAGGAGUCGUUCUUAAAAAAGUGAUAGAGAAACGCACCGUCAACUGGUACAACAAUGCGGUGGCUCAGACAGUUCGAGCCAAGUCGGAGGAUGAGGUGCACAAUCCUCUCUUCCCGGACAACGUGGAAGAGUCAAGCGCUGCAUUGCCUGUCGCUCAAUGGCCCGAAGGUUUAGAAGGAGGGACCGCUUUCCGCGCCGUAAUUUAUAACGAUUCAACGAAGACGUUUCGGAUGUCGAUGGCGGUUAGUCAGGUCGGUCAACAAGUGGCUGCUCUGCCAUCAAAUGCGCAAAAAGCCAGCGAGCGCCAGAACUUUUCGUCAUUCUUGUACAAUGAAAAGCAACCUGAUCGUGUCAAACGUCCGCUUGAAGAGCAGUGCCAGGAUCGCGGUUUGAAGAGUGCUCGCAAUGUGUUUGACGCUUUGCCGCAAUUGCCGGAAUCGGAUGAGUGUUAAAAAUUUGUCAGAUGCGGAAUUCUCAAAUACAAAAUCUCGUCUCAACUAACGAUUCGGUUAAAUAGAGUUGAUAAAAUUGGAAUAUCGCUUAUUUUACACCCGUUACAUUCGCUUUAUAUUAUUUUAAAUUUGUUCAUGCUGUGCACAGACAAUGUUUUCUGUUUUUUCAAUGAUGCGCUGAUUUGUAUUUUGGAUUCCUGGAAUUUUAUGUCCACUGAUCGUUUUGCGCGGUACUGUUUUUUCGUAAACACAUCUGGUUUUCUUAUGUGCCAGGAGAGUGAUUGGAGCUGGAUUAAUAAAUACGCUCUUAAAAGUUGUUAAAAGAUAUUGAAACCCCGAUCG